RNAcentral lists this long non-coding RNA (1406 nucleotides) under Marmota monax (woodchuck). The record is from RNAcentral. Lineage: Eukaryota; Metazoa; Chordata; Mammalia; Rodentia; Sciuridae.
CUCCUGCCUCAGCCUCCUGAGUUAACUGGCAUUACAGGUAUGUGCCAUUAUGCCCAGCUCUCAUUUCAUUCAAAAUAAAAACUGGAGCCCUUACAAGUCCGAACAAAGGCUCGAUCUGCCAUUCUCCCUGCCCAGACAUGCCUGACCUCAUCUCGGACCCUUCAGGCUCUCCACAUGACCCACUGCUGUUCCUGGAACUAGUGGAACACAGUUGGCUUCAGGUCUUUCCCACUGGCUGUUUUCUCUGUUACUGUUCCCCAGAUACAGAAUGAUUCCCCCUCAGUGUCCAAGGGUUUGCUCCAUUGUCCCCCACCUUGGUAAGUAGCCAAACCCCUCACAUGCACACCCUGUCCCACCUGCACUACGCUCUGUUUUCCUAGUAACAUUCCAUUUCUAUCACAUUAGUUUGCCUAUUUUGCUCUCUGUUUUCUCCCAGUAGAACAUAAAUACAAAGAAGACACAGAUUUUUAAUCCUUUUAAUUCCCCUGUGUAACCCCAGUACUUAGCACAGGAGUUAACAGAGCAAACCUGGGUACACAGUGUAUUCGUAGCAUGAACAAAUAUCCUGUGAAAGCAAAGUCCUUCUAGAAAAAUCCCUUCCCAGCCCAGUUACGAAGUCUCUGCAGGCUCAGGACCAGGAUUAUCAAUUACAUUGUGAUCAUUUGUUAAUGACUUCCCACUUCUCCCUCCCUCCACAAGGACAAAGUCCUGGUGCCAACCAGGCUAUGUCUCGCAUGUUUAUAACCAGACCCAACCUGGUAUCCACCGUCCUGAGCAGGGCUUUCAGGCCAAACCACACCCAGUCCCUGCUCCGCAAGGACGCUCACCCACUGGUCUCAGUUUACAGAGGCCCAAGGCUGCUGGGGGCAGAGGCAGGUGGUGGGUAUUUUUAGGCAUGGGUCCUCAGAAAGGGGCUCAAAGACAGAAAGUCACCUGGCCUGGUGACACGGCAGGUCAACAGGUGGCCCUGGGAACUUUCCUUGGUUGCUCCUCUUUGGAGAUACAAGCCUCUCCGGUCGGGGUCUUUGCUCAGGAUUUCCAAAAGGAAGAAAAGAUUUGCCCCUGCCUCUCCCUAUCUCCACCCAUCGGCCCCUUCUCAGAGGUCUCCCCAUCUCUGUCCUAUCUCCUCUCCAGGCCUGUGUCCACCACCCUGGUUUUGGCCACCUUAACUCUGGACAGUUAUGGCAGUCUCCCAGCCCACUGGCUAACGAAGAAGAAAGCCUUCCCUCACCGCAGGCACUAGCCCUCUCUACCCAGGAAACAGCUAGGACCAAGGCAGACUACCGCCUGGUUCCUCUGUUUUCGUGCAGUACGGGAGCUUGAACCCAGGGCCUCCCACAGGCCAGGAGAGCGCUGAGCUACAUCCCAGCACCUUUGUUUUGAGAUAGGACCUUGCUAAGUGGCUG